GCAGUCAUCGCCUGGCCCGCCCGGUUUCUCUCGCAGCCCUCUUGCUUGGAGCACUUGCGGGCUCAGGCUGAGGGGCCCGCGGGGACCCUUGCCUCUUUUCGGGUUGGCAGAAUUGCUGGGCAAGCACGGUCGGGAGACCCAAUUCGUAAUUUAAUAAACUUAUAUUAGACCUCGCUUCUAAAUGGCACUGAGCUUGAGAGCAACUCCCAGCAGACCCGUUUAGAUGCCCCUGACUGGGGAAGGGCGCCGAGGAAGAGGGAGGUCUAACGUAAGUCCCACUUCAGCUGCUGGCAGCCACGGAACCCAGCCAGGCCGGGGAGGGGGCUGGGGGGGCGGUGCCGGGCCGCAUCCAGCUUUGCCUCCUGCCCACUCGGGUGACAUGAAGCUGCGAGAAGUUGGAGCAUGGUCUCUGCGGCCAAGGCUGGCUGGAGCUGCCCGGGGCCUGGAAGGAGCGCCCCACCGCUUGAGUCUUCUCCCCCUGCCGGUCCUGCAGCUCUACGAAGGGUCCCUUUCCUCGAGAGGCGCUCUCGGCCCACCGAAACUGGGGAGUGGUCGGCAGCGUUGGGCUGCCUUCUCCGGAUGCCAGCCGUGUGGUCAUCCAGCGGUUCCCUUAUUGGCGGGGAUCCCGACGUCCCCUCUGCCCCCGAGAUCCCUCCUCCUCCUCCUGACCCACAGAAGGAGCCCAAGCAAAACGCCGCCCCUCCCUCUGAUCGCCCAGAACGAGUCCCAGCAAAGGGCGGCCGAAGAACCGACGGGGCCCAAUCGCCUCCGGGGAGAUCCUGGCACAGGUGGGGGCGGCUAAUAGCUCACCCUCGUCUCCCCCAACGCCCCCAGAAGCUCCUUUCACGGGGAAGCCGCCGAAGCCCCCCAGGGACCCCCCCACCACCACCACCGCGAUCCUCUCCUCCCCCGCAGCCUCCCGGGCGGCGCACGUGGUCCGGGCUGGGCCGCGCGGCAGGGCGGGAAGUGUAGUUCCUCUCUCGGGCGCCCACAGGCCCCGCCCUCCCCCACCCGGAAGUGGGCUGGCCACUCCAAGAUGGCGUCUCCUCCCGCGGGGGGCCCGAUGGCGAUCGCGAUGCGGCUCCGGAACCAGCUGCAGGCCGUCUACAAGAUGGACCCGCUGCGGAACGAGGAGGAGGUGAAGGUGAAGAUGAAGGAGCUGAACGAGCACAUCGUCUGCUUCCUCUGCGCCGGCUACUUCAUCGACGCCACCACCAUCACCGAGUGCCUGCACACCUUUUGCAAGAGCUGCAUCGUGAAGUUCCUGCAGACCAGCAAGUAUUGCCCGCUCUGCAGCACCAAGAUCCACGAGACUCAGCCGCUGCUCAACCUCAAGCUGGACCGCGUCAUGCAGGACAUUGUCUACAAGCUGGUGCCUGGCCUGCAGGAGAGUGAGGAGAGGAGGAUCCGGGAAUUCUACCAGUCCCGAGGGCUGGAGCGGGGCAGCCAGGCCAGCCACGAAGACCCUGCCUCGGACCGCGUGGGCCUGCCCUACACCACCUUCGACCACUCACGGGCUCAUUAUUACCGCUUUGACGAGCACGUCACGCUGUGCCUGGAGAAGCAGAGGUGGGCCGGAUUCAGCCUCUCCUGUCUUCUCCUCUUGCAGCAGCUCUGGGAAAGAGAAGAGCAAACACGUCCUGCAGCAAAAGUACGUCCGCUGCUCCGUGCGGGCCCAGAUCCGCCACCUCCGCCGGGUUUUGUGUUGUCGACUGGAACUGGCCUUGCAAUAUGUACAGAUCCUGUUUGACAACGAGGUGCUUCCGGAUCACCUGACUUUGAAGCAACUUUGGCUCACCCGUUGGUUUGGCAAGCCGGCCCCGCUGCACCUGAACUACAGUGUGAAGGAGAAGAGGAGGUAGGGGGCGAUGGACCGUGAUGUACCCUUUCCCCCCCCCUUUUAAUUUAAGGAUUCGGCCCUUCCGUGGGCGUUUAUUUUUGUAAUAAAAAGGCUGAUGGAGGCCUUCUGGCUCCUUCAAUGAA
RNA transcript from Thamnophis elegans (Western terrestrial garter snake), 1983 nucleotides. It is a transcript of the gene named polycomb group ring finger 1, with no coding region annotated. Lineage: Eukaryota; Metazoa; Chordata; Lepidosauria; Squamata; Natricidae. The record is from RefSeq and is a predicted model, not a curated record. The transcript has 9 exons.